Molecule: transfer RNA, 73 nt
Organism: Tetrahymena thermophila SB210
Lineage: Eukaryota; Ciliophora; Oligohymenophorea; Hymenostomatida; Tetrahymenidae
Rfam family: tRNA
About the family: Transfer RNA (tRNA) molecules are approximately 80 nucleotides in length.
Source: Rfam
GGGUGUGUAGCUCACAUGGUAGAGCGCUUGAUUUGCAUUCAAGAGGCAGGGGGAUCGAUGCCCCCCACAUCCA